CCCUUAGAUGUCCUGGGCCGCACGCGCGUUACACUGAUGCAUUCAACGAGCUUAUAACCUUGGCCGAGAGGCCUGGGCAAUCUUGUUAACGUGCGUCGUGAUGGGGAUAGAUUAUUGCAAUUAUUAAUCUUCAACGAGGAAUGCCUAGUAAGCGCAAGUCAUCAGCUUGCGUUGAUUACGUCCCUGCCCUUUGUACACACCGCCCGUCGCUCCUACCGAUUGAAUGGUCCGGUGAAGCGUUCGGACCGUGGCCUUUGGACGGUUCGCCGUCUGUUGGCUGCGGGAAGUUCGUUAAACCUUAUCAUUUAGAGGAAGGAGAAGUCGUAACA
RNAcentral lists this ribosomal RNA (329 nucleotides) under uncultured eukaryote. Its description in RNAcentral is "partial 18S ribosomal RNA". It matches the Rfam family "Eukaryotic small subunit ribosomal RNA", at positions 1470 to 1796 of the family's 1831-position model. The record is from RNAcentral.